UUACAAAGUGUUUUACAGAAAAGUUAACAAAACUUGUAAGACAGGCAUCCAUUCAGAGGAACGCGUUCUUCCUGUUCUGAGCUGUUCACUGGAGGUUCAUGUUUCAUUUCAGCCUCUGGGGGAAGGGGCGUGGCCCCCUGUGACGGGUUGGCUCUGGGGCCAGGCAGGGACAGUGACACCUCAGAAUGACUCCCUGGAGAGCCCCUCUGCCCUCUCCUCAACACACAGAAGACCCCUCUGCCUGCCCGCCUGCCCUACCAUGGGCACCAGCCUCCUGUGCUGUGUGACCUUCUGUCUCCUGCAGGCAGGUCCAGGGAAUGCUGGUGUCACUCAGGACCCAAAAUUCCGGGUCCUGAGGACAGGACAGAGCACGACCCUGAAAUGUGCCCAGGAUCUGGACCACUACUAUAUGUACUGGUACCGACAAGACCUGGGACACGGGCUGAGGCUGAUCCAUUACUCAACUGACACUGGCAACAUCAACAAAGGAGACGUCCCCAACGGGUACAGCGUCUCCAGAUCAAACCUCGAGAACUUCCCUCUCACACUGGAGGCUGCCACCCACUCCCAGACAUCUGUGUACCUCUGCGCCAGCAGUUACUCCACGGCACUGCACGGCCACCUCCUCUCUGCACAAAAAGGCAGGGGAGGCCCUGCACCCCGGGACUCAGCAGAGUCCCUUGCAGGCUCCUAGCACCUGGAGCCUUGGAGCCCUGGGUGCCAGGUGCCUGCAGCGUGACCCUCAGUGUGUGGUCUCGGCCGGCCCAGACCUGACUCCAUGGCCUUGCAGAUGUGUGCCCACCGUCACUCUCUGUCUUUCCUCUGCAGCUGCCCUGUGAGGAGAAAGAUGCUGCCCCAGCUCUGACUCGUAGCCAUCAGCCUGAGUCUGAGGCCUCCAGGAGGGAACGUUAUUGGUCACACAGGAGCUGGAGUGUCCCAGUCCCCCAGGCACAGGGUCACAGGGAGGGGCCAGGCUGUAGUUCUCAGGUGUGACCCAAUUUCUGGUCACCAAGUAUUUU
Molecule: non-coding RNA, 1019 nt
Organism: Orcinus orca (killer whale)
Lineage: Eukaryota; Metazoa; Chordata; Mammalia; Artiodactyla; Delphinidae
Source: the annotation of a RefSeq genome assembly